Molecule: microRNA, 18 nt
Filed under: Homo sapiens (human)
Lineage: Eukaryota; Metazoa; Chordata; Mammalia; Primates; Hominidae
Description: hsa-miR-12136
Source: miRBase by way of RNAcentral
GAAAAAGUCAUGGAGGCC